UACGUAGGGUGCGAGCGUUGUCCGGAAUUAUUGGGCGUAAAGGGCUCGUAGGCGGUUUGUCGCGUCGGGAGUGAAAACCCAGGGCUUAACUCUGGGCUGGCUUUCGAUACGGGCAGACUAGAGGUAUGCAGGGGAGAACGGAAUUCCUGGUGUAGCGGUGAAAUGCGCAGAUAUCAGGAGGAACACCGGUGGCGAAGGCAGCUCGCUGGGACGUGACUGACGCUGAGACGCGAAAGCGUGGGGAGCAAACGGG
RNAcentral lists this ribosomal RNA (253 nucleotides) under uncultured bacterium. Its description in RNAcentral is "partial 16S ribosomal RNA". It matches the Rfam family "Bacterial small subunit ribosomal RNA", at positions 524 to 776 of the family's 1533-position model. The record is from RNAcentral.